Molecule: transfer RNA, 74 nt
Filed under: Lachnospiraceae bacterium
Lineage: Bacteria; Bacillati; Bacillota; Clostridia; Lachnospirales; Lachnospiraceae
Description: tRNA-Ile
Rfam family: tRNA
About the family: Transfer RNA (tRNA) molecules are approximately 80 nucleotides in length.
Source: RNAcentral
GGAUCCUUAGCUCAGUUGGUCAGAGCAGCCGGCUCAUAACCGGUCGGCUUUGGGUUCGAGUCCCAGAGGAUCCA